GGGGCUAUCAGGCUGGUAUCGUUGGCCGGUCCAAGGAGCUCUGUCCUUAUCAAUCGAUCGAUGCCCGGUCUAACUGGUUGGGAGGUUGGCGAGAGGCCAUGGAGGACAGGGCGGCGAUUGCCUGAUCGCACCUUGUCAAUCGAAAAAGGAACAACCUCCGCCGCGGCGGAGGUUUUCUUUUUCAGGGCGGAGCGCCGUCUAAUACAUACGCCGUCUAAUACAUACGCCGAUUGAUGCCCAUCAGGUCGAUAAUGCGGGCGGAGAUCUCUUCCACCGAAUAAUUAGUGGUAUUGAUGUAGCGGAUUUGAUGACGGCGGAAUAGCGAUUCCACCUCGCUCAGCUCCA
RNAcentral lists this non-coding RNA (345 nucleotides) under Dickeya dianthicola. The record is from RNAcentral. Lineage: Bacteria; Pseudomonadati; Pseudomonadota; Gammaproteobacteria; Enterobacterales; Pectobacteriaceae.